GCGGGUGUGGUGGAAUAGGCAGACACAAGGGACUUAAAAUCCCUCGGUAGCGAUACCGUACCGGUUCGAUCCCGGUCAGCGGCA
This 84-nucleotide transfer RNA is filed under the name Gemmiger sp. Its description in RNAcentral is "tRNA-Leu". It matches the Rfam family "tRNA". From Rfam's summary of the family: Transfer RNA (tRNA) molecules are approximately 80 nucleotides in length. Their secondary structure includes four short double-helical elements and three loops (D, anti-codon, and T loops). Lineage: Bacteria; Bacillati; Bacillota; Clostridia; Eubacteriales; Oscillospiraceae. The record is from RNAcentral.